AAGGUAGCGAAAUUCCUUGUCGGGUAAGUUCCGACCUGCACGAAUGGCAUAAUGAUGGGGGCGCUGUCUCCAGCAGAGACUCAGUGAAAUCGAAUUCGCCGUGAAGAUGCGGUGUACCCGCGGCUAGACGGAAAGACCCCGUGAACCUUUACUGCAGCUUGACAUUGAACUUUGAUCUUACUUGUGUAGGAUAGGUGGGAGGCUUUGAAACCGAGACGCUAGUUUCGGUGGAGCCAAUCUUGAAAUACCACCCUGGUAAUAUU
RNAcentral lists this ribosomal RNA (263 nucleotides) under bacterium LRH843. Its description in RNAcentral is "partial 23S ribosomal RNA". It matches the Rfam family "Bacterial large subunit ribosomal RNA", at positions 1953 to 2215 of the family's 2925-position model. The record is from RNAcentral.